ACACAAUAAAAUAUGAAGGCUGUACGCGGCUGUGCUCUCGGGCCAGUUUUGCGGAGGCUGAAUUAUUUAUUACCCUUGUCUUUUGCGCACUUGUUCUUUCCUGGGCGGGUUCGCCCGCCACCAAGGACCACAUCAUAAACCUUUUUUAUGCAGUUGCAAUCAGCGUCAGUAUAACAAAUGUAAAUCAUUUACAACUUUCAACAACGGAUCUCUUGGUUCUGGCAUCGAUGAAGAACGCAGCGAAAUGCGAUACGUAGUGUGAAUUGCAGAAUUCAGUGAAUCAUCGAAUCUUUGAACGCACAUUGCGCCCUUUGGUAUUCCAAAGGGCAUGCCUGUUCGAGCGUCAUUUGUACCCUCAAGCUUUGCUUGGUGUUGGGCGUUUUUUGUCUUUGGUUGCCAAAGACUCGCCUUAAAAGGAUUGGCAGCCGGCCUACUGGUUUCGCAGCGCAGCACAUUUUUGCGCUUGCAAUCAGCAAAAGAGGACGGCAAUCCAUCAAGACUCCUUCUCACGUUUGACCUCGGAUCAGGUAGGGAUACCCGCUGAACUUAAGCAU
This 554-nucleotide ribosomal RNA is filed under the name Curvularia lunata. RNAcentral describes it as "eukaryotic LSU rRNA". The stretch from base 193 to 346 matches the Rfam family "5.8S ribosomal RNA". Lineage: Eukaryota; Fungi; Ascomycota; Dothideomycetes; Pleosporales; Pleosporaceae. The record is from RNAcentral.